AGCGAACGCUGGCGGCAGGCCUAACACAUGCAAGUCGAACGGAUCCUUCGGGAUUAGUGGCGGACGGGUGAGAAACACGUGGGAACGUGCCCUUUGGUUCGGAACAACUCAGGGAAACUUGAGCUAAUACCGGAUGUGCCCUUCGGGGGAAAGAUUUAUCGCCAUUGGAGCGGCCCGCGUCUGAUUAGCUAGUUGGUGAGGUAACGGCCCACCAAGGCGACGAUCAGUAGCUGGUCUGAGAGGAUGAUCAGCCACACUGGGACUGAGACACGGCCCAGACUCCUACGGGAGGCAGCAGUGGGGAAUCUUGCGCAAUGGGCGAAAGCCUGACGCAGCCAUGCCGCGUGAAUGAUGAAGGUCUUAGGAUUGUAAAAUUCUUUCAGCGGGGACGAUAAUGACGGUACCCGCAGAAGAAGCUCCGGCUAACUUCGU
Molecule: ribosomal RNA, 432 nt
Filed under: uncultured bacterium
Lineage: Bacteria
Description: partial 16S ribosomal RNA
Rfam family: Bacterial small subunit ribosomal RNA
Source: RNAcentral